GUGCUCAUUAUGGCAGCACAUAUAAUAAAAUUGGAAUAAUACAGAGAUUAGAAUGCCCCUGCUCAAGGAUGACACGCAAAUUCGUGAAGUGUUUCAUAUUUUU
Small nuclear RNA from Suncus etruscus (white-toothed pygmy shrew), 103 nucleotides. NCBI's taxonomy places the organism in Eukaryota, Metazoa, Chordata, Mammalia, Eulipotyphla, Soricidae. The record is from RefSeq and is a predicted model, not a curated record.